RNAcentral lists this transfer RNA (77 nucleotides) under Desulfuromonas sp. RNAcentral's name for it is "tRNA-Met". It matches the Rfam family "tRNA". Rfam says of the family: Transfer RNA (tRNA) molecules are approximately 80 nucleotides in length. Their secondary structure includes four short double-helical elements and three loops (D, anti-codon, and T loops). Further hydrogen bonds mediate the characteristic L-shaped molecular structure. tRNAs have two regions of fundamental functional importance: the anti-codon, which is responsible for specific mRNA codon recognition, and the 3' end, to which the tRNAs corresponding amino acid is attached (by aminoacyl-tRNA synthetases). tRNAs cope with the degeneracy of the genetic code in two manners: having more than one tRNA (with a specific anti-codon) for a particular amino acid; and 'wobble' base-pairing, i.e. permitting non-standard base-pairing at the 3rd anti-codon position. RNAcentral also lists the same sequence under 61 other names. The record is from RNAcentral. Lineage: Bacteria; Pseudomonadati; Thermodesulfobacteriota; Desulfuromonadia; Desulfuromonadales; Desulfuromonadaceae.
CGCGGGGUGGAGCAGUCUGGUAGCUCGUCGGGCUCAUAACCCGAAGGUCACAGGUUCAAAUCCUGUCCCCGCAACCA